ACACAAACAAAAGGCCCCGUUUACACCGGAAACGGACAAAAAACUAGUUUCUACACUGUCGAAAUUAGGAAGUUUUACUACCGUUUCUUCAGGUGGUGUGGGGAAAGCUAUAAUGAACAAUGACUCCCUAAUCAACAAACUGCUGUGUUUCAUGAAACAGCAAGCAGAGGUAUGGAUUCCAAGGCACUCCCGUAUGUGUCACAUGGCCAGAGAAUUUGGUGAAAAGAGGAGGAAAACAUGGGUUUCAAGGAAGACGUUUUGGUUUGCUGGCUGGGAAAGAGAAGAAUGCAUUGGAGGCACCUGCUGGCAGCUCUGACAGAACAGGAUAAAUCACUACCUGGGCCAAAUGUAAUUGUACUGCAUGCUGGGAAAUGAUGUUACGAGUAGCCCAUUGUUAUAUCUCAGAAACAGAAUUUGCCAUUGAUGGGCAGAUCCAAUAGUAAUAGCCAAAUAUAAAACUUGAGUGGUCAGAUAUAAUUCAAAGACCAGUCUGGCAGGGAGCAAAUGACAUCAAAGCAGUAGAGAGGGUUAUGAAACUGGCUAACAGAUUCAUUUGACAGCAGGUAGUCGAGCUAAGGGGACAGUUGGUACACCAUACUAAUAUUUAAUAUCAUUUUUCCAGAACUUUCUGUGAAUUAGGGGGUCUACUUGUCACAACUGAGGACCAAGUUAUUUAUGGUAAACCCUAAAAAAGGAAUCAAAGAGGUGGCAUAUGUGCUUGAGGGAAAAGGCAGGACAAGCUAUCUUCCUGUGAUGGAAGGACAGACUUGGAAGGCUAAAUUGCAAAGGAAGUGACUGGGCUUAGGGAAGAUUCAGGCUCAGACAGCUUGGCUGUUCCCUGGGUGGCCUGCCCCAUGGUGUAAUGGUCAGGCUGGGGGGGGGGGACAAUCUGGGGUCUCGUGAUAGAUCACCUUCAGACUGUCAGUGGUUGGUUGUGGGUCCCUUCAGCCACAAUGGUGUUAGUUGAACAUUUACAGGGACUACGUGUUGUAAUUUAUGGCCUGGCUGACUUUGCUUCCAUCCAGGUUCUGCCCUUUUUGUACAUAUGAAUAUUCAUACUUGAUAUUGAUUUGUUGUAAUUGGCUUUGAUUUUGCUCUAGCACUGACUUGAUUCAUAAUUUAAUUUGAUUAGCACAAUAAAUACAUGGCUGCAGCCAUUUCUUCCAA
Molecule: long non-coding RNA, 1167 nt
Organism: Protopterus annectens (West African lungfish)
Lineage: Eukaryota; Metazoa; Chordata; Ceratodontiformes; Protopteridae
Exons: 2
Source: RefSeq, a predicted model, not a curated record